Long non-coding RNA from Quercus robur (English oak), 519 nucleotides. RefSeq lists it as uncharacterized. The record is from RefSeq and is a predicted model, not a curated record. NCBI's taxonomy places the organism in Eukaryota, Viridiplantae, Streptophyta, Magnoliopsida, Fagales, Fagaceae. The transcript is spliced from 2 exons.
UGUGUGUGUGGAUCAGAAAAAUUGGCAGGUUCUAUAUGUGUGUGUAUGUAUUUGGCAGGUUGAAUUUGACAGGUUCUAUAUGUGUGUGUGGAUCAGAAAAAUUGGCAGGUUCUAUAUGUGUGUGUAUGUAUUUGAUAGGUUCUAUAUGUGUGUGUGGAUCAGAAAAAUUGGCAGUUUCUAUGUGUGUGCAUGUAUUUGGCAGCUUGUUUGAAUAGUUGUUGAAUUUGACAAAAAAAAAAAAAGUUUGCUGGAAAGAAAUGAUGAAGGCCAGGGAAAGAUAUUUGAUAUAUUCUUUGGAAUAGACGUUGAAUUUGACCCAAAAAAAAAAAUGGUUUGCUGGAAAGAAAUUAUAUAAAUGGUUGUGGUGCUUUAAAAUCCCUACCAAUGUCCAAUUGUACAUGCCUGGAAUAUGCAACUAUUGAGAGUUGUAGUUCUUUGAUGUUCAUUUCAAAACGCCAGCUACCUCCAACUUUGAAAAGUCUAGUGAUAAAUGAUUGCAAGAAUUUGCAAUUUUUGAUA